This 444-nucleotide ribosomal RNA is filed under the name uncultured bacterium. RNAcentral describes it as "bacterial SSU rRNA". It matches the Rfam family "Bacterial small subunit ribosomal RNA", at positions 331 to 792 of the family's 1533-position model. The record is from RNAcentral.
CCAGACUCCUACGGGAGGCAGCAGUAAGGGAUAUUGGUCAAUGGGGGAAACCCUGAACCAGCAACGCCGCGUGAGGGAAGACGGUUUUCGGAUUGUAAACCUCUGUCCUCUGUGAAGAUGAUGACGGUAGCAGAGGAGGAAGCUCCGGCUAACUACGUGCCAGCAGCCGCGGUAAUACGUAGGGAGCGAGCGUUGUCCGGAUUUACUGGGUGUAAAGGGUGCGUAGGCGGCUUGGCAAGUCAGUAGUGAAAUCCAUGGGCUUAACCCAUGAACUGCUAUUGAAACUGUCGAGCUUGAGUGAAGUAGAGGUAGGCGGAAUUCCCGGUGUAGCGGUGAAAUGCGUAGAGAUCGGGAGGAACACCAGUGGCGAAGGCGGCCUGCCGCAGCGUUACUGACGCUGAAGCUCGAAAGCGCGGGUAUCGAACAGGAUUAGAUACCCUAGUA